UUGGAGGGCAAGUCUGGUGCCAGCAGCCGCGGUAAUUCCAGCUCCAAUAGCGUAUAUUAAAGUUGUUGCAGUUAAAAAGCUCGUAGUUGUAUUUCGGGAUCAAAUUGUCGGUCGUGCCUCGGUACGCACUGGUAUUAUUGGUUCCUACCUUCUGAAGAACCGCGAUGUCAUUAAUUUGGUGUCGUGGGGAAUCAGGACUGUUACUUUGAAAAAAUUAGAGUGUUUAAAGCAGGCUUACGCUUGAAUACAUUAGCAUGGAAUAAUGAAAUAGGACGUUUGAUUCUAUUUUGUUGGUUUCUAGGAUUGACGUAAUGAUUAAUAGGGAUAGUUGGGGGCAUUAGUAUUCAAUUGUCAGAGGUGAAAUUCUUGGAUUUAUUGAAGACUAACUACUGCGAAAGCAUUUGCCAAGGAUGUUUUCAUUAAUCAAAAACGAAAGUUAGGGGAUCGAAGACGAUCAGAUACCGUCGUAGUCUUAACCAUAAACUAUGCCGACUAGGGAUCGGAUGAUGUUAAUUUUUUAAUGACUCAUUCGGCGCCUUACGGGAAAC
Molecule: ribosomal RNA, 548 nt
Filed under: uncultured Glomeromycotina
Lineage: Eukaryota; Fungi; Glomeromycota
Description: SSU rRNA
Rfam family: Eukaryotic small subunit ribosomal RNA
Source: RNAcentral